Molecule: ribosomal RNA, 482 nt
Filed under: uncultured bacterium
Lineage: Bacteria
Description: partial 16S ribosomal RNA
Rfam family: Bacterial small subunit ribosomal RNA
Source: RNAcentral
GAUGAACGCUGGCGGCGUGCCUAGUACAUGCAAGUCGAACGCUUCACUUCGGUGAAGAGUGGCGAACGGGUGAGUAAUACAUAAGUAACCUGGCAUCUACAGGGGGAUAACUGAUGGAAACGUCAGCUAAGACCGCAUAGGUGUAGAGAUCGCAUGAACUCUAUAUGAAAAGUGCUACGGGACUGGUAGAUGAUGGACUUAUGGCGCAUUAGCUUGUUGGUAGGGUAACGGCCUACCAAGGCGACGAUGCGUAGCCGACCUGAGAGGGUGACCGGCCACACUGGGACUGAGACACGGCCCAGACUCCUACGGGAGGCAGCAGUAGGGAAUUUUCGGCAAUGGGGGAAACCCUGACCGAGCAACGCCGCGUGAAGGAAGAAGUAAUUCGUUAUGUAAACUUCUGUCAUAGAGGAAGAACGGUGGAUAUAGGGAAUGAUAUCCAAGUGACGGUACUCUAUAAGAAAGCCACGGCUAACUACGUG